Non-coding RNA from Phasianus colchicus (ring-necked pheasant), 3628 nucleotides. The record is from RefSeq and is a predicted model, not a curated record. NCBI's taxonomy places the organism in Eukaryota, Metazoa, Chordata, Aves, Galliformes, Phasianidae.
UCACCCCAGUUAUAUGAAUUACCUCUCUCCUGGCUUUUUGCACUCUCCCCAGAUUACUGCUGUUGGCCAUGUGCUGGACAAGCUGCAUCCCAGCCUGAACCAACGACUUGAAUUUUAGCCAGCAAGGAAACAAAACACAGGAUUGGUGUCCGAACCGCUGCAACUUCUUAAAAGAUGUGCAGUUGGAAAGAAGGCGUCACAAUGCAAAGAAUUUUUUUCUGGCUCAGCUUUCCAGCGGCUAACUGCAGUAUUACGGGAAUGACACAGCACGCCGCGGGCUCCCUUGAGCAACUUCUGGUGCUGAACAGCGUCACGUAUCUUCUAUGCCCUUUGUUUUGCAUUGGCCAAAGGAAAGAGCGAGCCCUCUAGAGGCAGAAACACAAAGCCUUGGAAGAGCACUCAGCAGCAGGUCUCCACACUGAGACCCUCCUGCCUUUCCUCGAGAUAGGAACAGGUCUGUGUCGCUGAGCAGGACUCUGACCCACAGAUUUAUGCGGAAAAGCCAGGCUGGAUAGGAGAAGAUUACAAGCUAUUUCCUGGAAGUGCUUACUCUACAGCCUAGAAUGUGUGGAAACUCAACAUAGUAACGGGAGAAUGUGGCAAACACAAACUACAAAACUUUUAAGCUGGAGUUAAAAAGUAUUAAAAGGCAUCUGCCAAGACCUUAGGAGCUAACAGGGCGCAAGAGGGAUAGGGAACCGGCAAUUCCAGACUGAUCUGGUAGAGCUGAAGAAUUGAUUUCUGCUUCGCAAAUCCCAGCAAUGUUUCCUAAAGAACCUAGAUGACACCAGUAAGUCCUAGUCAAGGUCAACUGAUCUGCUCUACAAAAAUUGUGUAGUUCUCAUUUGUAAAAAUUGGGCUGUAAUAUAGGCUGAAAUGGAAACAUCUGCCCCAUCAACACUAUUACUUCAAUACUUCCUCCAGCCUGGGAAAUGAGCUGCAGCAGGUUUUUCCGCAAUUGACUGCAGAGAAACAUGUAUUAAAUGGGAAUGGUUAAAAGGGACAUCAUUAUUAUUGCUUGGUCAAACAACUGGUAGGGAUAAUGCUUCUGUGUCACGAGAUGUAUAUUUAGAUGCAUCGAAUCUCAAAUGGCAUCCAAGUUUAACUUAAUAUAGCUUUAAAUCAAAGUUUUAUAUUCAUUUUCAUGGGCUCAUUGGUUGUUUUGUAUUCAAAUUCAAACCAGCAGUGGAGAACUGUGGAAAAUGGUAUUCCAGAGCAGAAGGGUGGCUAUGAGCUCUACUUUGAAGACAUGAUCUAUUGGAGAUACUACUUCUCUGAGACUAUUACAAAGUGCAUUUUCACAGGCAUUCUUACUAAGAAAAUAAUUUAAAAAAAUAGAAACCCAACAUUUAGAACCAUGAAAUGGAAGGUGUUUUCAGGAGAUCUAAGGUUUGAUCUGAAGUAUGUUCAAGCAUGCCCACAGCACUUCAAACAGAAUCUACUUGAUACUUAUUUUUGUAUUUCAAGAAGUACCUUAUCUGCUUUCCUCUGAUACAGCAUCCUGGUCUCUUACUAGACUUCAUUUUCCUUCUUGACUAAGAUAAAUACAAUUGCAUUUAGGCAAACUGCCUAAAAGGCUGCAUACUUCAGAUUCCCACGAGUUGUUUCAGAUUAGCAAGUGUUAUCACUGUCCUGCUGUCCUUACAUCUUCCUUUCCUGAGAAAAUGAAAACCAGCACUUCAGAAACCGUAACAGAUUAUUUAGCUCCAAGCUAUUCUUAUAUUUUGAAAGUUAUCUCCCUACUGUAGUAAGUUAAUCCUACAUGCUUCCAGAUUAUUUCUUUAAUGAGUAGACAAGUAAACAACAAAUUGUUACUAUCUCUUCUGAAACAGGGAUUUUCUGAUCAUUAUCCCAUUACUGUAGGACAUUAGGUAGUAGGCCAAACUUACCUUGCACUAUUACUGUUGUUAGCUGCUAAGAAAAACAAAAGAAAACUUAGAUCAACAAAUUAAAGGUACACAGGUGAUUUCUAUGAUGGCUUUAUUAGCCUCAUGUUUUCAAGUAAGCAUCCUCUGUGAUCCUAAGGGUUAUUUCCUUCUAGUACUUCUGCUAGUCUCUCCUGUAAAGACCCCAUGGAAGAAAGGACUUGGUGAUGGUCACCAGUAUGACAGGAGUACCCCCCAAAGAUGAUGCAAUAUGACCAUUGUGCAUCGAGCUACUUGAAGGAUAAAAAUGAAAAAAAUACAUUGAAGAAAAUAAACAAAUGACACUUGAAAUCAGUAUGCUUUAUUAAUACUUCAGAAACAUCAAAUCCUACAGCAGAGUUCUUCUCCUCGCUUGUUUCCAGUCACUGCUUUGAAGCAAUUUCUUGAAAUAUGCAAGUAGAUACAUGAGGCACUGUGUGAAUACAAAAGUGACAAUACAAAAAAAACCCCAACAAUUAAACCUCAUGCAAUACAUACAUACAAAUAUAUAUAUAUAUAUAAAAUAUGGUAAUGUAGCAUAAUACACACAAGCGCUAAUAGAACAAUUCAUAUAAACAAACAUACAAUAUGCACAGCAUGUAAUGAUCAAUGACAACAGGUUUCUGACCUAUGUGCAGAACCAGUCAGUUUAAAUAAAGAGUUUUAAGAUACUAGAAACUGGUUAAGCCACAGCUUAUAAAAUCUGCUGUGCUGCAGCUUUUCUGCUCUGUGUCACAAGUGCAGAUUAAUAUACAAAAUAAAUAAAGACUACAGCUCUACAACACUUGCUUAACAGCUCCUACUUCAAAGUCACUGGCCAUUUCACUUUCAUUCAAGGUUCAUUAGCCAACACAGUGGCAAGAAAUGUGCCUAAAGCAACCGUUCUGCUCUUGGACUAUUUUAAUACUGAUAAGGACAUGUUUUUGUGUCAGCAGGAAUAGUUACAGAAGUCCAAUUUCUAAAUAAGCAAAGGAUUGAAGCUAUAAUAGAGCAGAUGUUGAGGAGGUACUCUGACAGAGCUGUUGGUUAGCCACGUGCCAUGCUGCAGUUACCAGCUCAACCAACUAGGGCAGGAAACAGAGAGUACUGAAGCAGUGGAGAAACUCAGAAGCCUCCUCUAAACACAGUGCAAAGCGUGAAAACACCAACAGUCUGUAGGAACAGAAACCAGAGACUAGAAAGUCUCUCAAGCCCUAUAUCUGGGACAAGAGCUACUCUUACCUGAAAAAAAGCUCAAGUAUUCCUAGAAAAUAGCAUGCAAAUAGGAGGAUUUUCUUCUUAACCAGCCAGUAUUGGGCAAUGCCAAAAGUACAAGUUGUUCUAAUCUCAUACCUUCCUAGCUGACAUGGUACCUUCUAUACUCUUGGUGUUGCAGGCCUCCAAAGAUCAGACCACAUUCACUAUAACACAGAUGAAAUUAAAAUUAUAAAAAGGCAAUCAAAUUGAUUUAACAGCCAAUAUUAUUUAUCGAUGAAGCAGCAGUUUUCUGGGAGGGGAACAAAGCAGUGGAGGGCAGGGGGAGGGCUGACAGUGGAAGAGAUUAUAAGAGGUAGAAGAAAAGGAAAACUGGGAAGAAGGAAGAUAGCAGGACUGGCUUUCAGAAGAGGAAGUAAGAAAUGCAAUAUCCUUUUUUGUCAGUGUAAAGUUUUAACCCACAACAAAAUAAACAUCUGCCUAUUACUAAACAGGAUGUUCCUUCAAACACACUGAAAGUGUGAAAAAAA